UUUUUAGUGUAAGUAUGUCUAAUGCAAUAUUUGGGACAUACUUAUAAUAAAA
Molecule: microRNA precursor, 52 nt
Filed under: Equus asinus (donkey)
Lineage: Eukaryota; Metazoa; Chordata; Mammalia; Perissodactyla; Equidae
Also listed under: 1 other name
Description: mir-1302 microRNA precursor family
Rfam family: mir-1302 microRNA precursor family
Source: Rfam by way of RNAcentral